CUGUAUACUUAAAAGUUAUGCAAAGGGUACAUAUUAUAUCUGUGUAAUCACACUAAAGGAAGUAAAAAAAUCAUCAAGCAGAAGAGAUGCUGAGCAGAAGCAGGGCAUAAUAUCCUGAGGAACUGGGGGAGGAGCCACACAGCAUCAGGUCAAAUGUGGCAGCUCCUUCUACCACCAUGGUCCUCGUGGAUGAGGGAACUGAUGAAAACGGUGUGUACAGAAAUCAUCACUCCAGUGACGAACAGUCAGGGUGAGAAGAAGAAGCUCCCCUACCCCAGGAACCACUGGAAGAAUUGCCCGCCUUUGAGGGAGAAGAAGAGGCUCUGUCUGACACUGAGACUGACUCGAAGUGUGGCACAGAAGCUUUCUCUCACUGAAGAACAGUCUCUGACUAGCUGCCCCACUCCAAUACUUCCAGUAACCCAGGUCUCUAAAAAAACAGUACUCACAAUACAUCUUACCCAGACUCACAAUGAAAUGAAAGUAUCAAGAACAUUUUGGUUUGAAAGGGAUAAGGCAGGAGAAAAGAGAACAAAGGAAGGCCUGGAAGUGAAGGGGUGGCCAAGUUGAAUCUGCUUUUUAUAUGAUUGAAUAAAUUCAGAAUAUUCAAGUGACUUUCCCGAGGU
This 626-nucleotide long non-coding RNA is filed under the name Sus scrofa (pig). RNAcentral describes it as "lncRNA (ENSSSCG00030045813.1)". The record is from RNAcentral. Lineage: Eukaryota; Metazoa; Chordata; Mammalia; Artiodactyla; Suidae.